GUUUGAUCAUGGCUCAGAUUGAACGCUGGCGGCAUGCCUUACACAUGCAAGUCGAACGGUAACGGGCCUUCGGGUGCCGACGAGUGGCGAACGGGUGAGUAAUGUAUCGGAACGUACCUUUCAGUGGGGGAUAACGUAGCGAAAGUUACGCUAAUACCGCAUAUUCUGUGAGCAGGAAAGCAGGGGGAUCGCAAGACCUUGCGCUGAUUGAGCGGCCGAUAUCAGAUUAGCUAGUUGGUGAGGUAAAGGCUCACCAAGGCGACGAUCUGUAGCGGGUCUGAGAGGAUGAUCCGCCACACUGGAACUGAGACACGGUCCAGACUCCUACGGGAGGCAGCAGUGGGGAAUUUUGGACAAUGGGGGCAACCCUGAUCCAGCCAUGCCGCGUGAGUGAAGAAGGCCUUCGGGUUGUAAAGCUCUUUCGGCCGGGAAGAAAUCGUAUGGGUUAAUACCCUGUGCGGAUGACGGUACCGGCAUAAGAAGCACCGGCUAACUACGUG
RNAcentral lists this ribosomal RNA (500 nucleotides) under uncultured bacterium. Its description in RNAcentral is "bacterial SSU rRNA". It matches the Rfam family "Bacterial small subunit ribosomal RNA", at positions 11 to 507 of the family's 1533-position model. The record is from RNAcentral.